UGAACGCUAGCUACAGGCUUAACACAUGCAAGUCGAGGGGCAGCAUGGUCUUAGCUUGCUAAGGCCGAUGGCGACCGGCGCACGGGUGAGUAACACGUAUCCAACCUGCCGUCUACUCUUGGACAGCCUUCUGAAAGGAAGAUUAAUACAAGAUGGCAUCAUGAGUUCACAUGUUCACAUGAUUAAAGGUAUUCCGGUAGACGAUGGGGAUGCGUUCCAUUAGAUAGUAGGCGGGGUAACGGCCCACCUAGUCUUCGAUGGAUAGGGGUUCUGAGAGGAAGGUCCCCCACAUUGGAACUGAGACACGGUCCAAACUCCUACGGGAGGCAGCAGUGAGGAAUAUUGGUCAAUGGGCGAGAGCCUGAACCAGCCAAGUAGCGUGAAGGAUGACUGCCCUAUGGGUUGUAAACUUCUUUUAUAAAGGAAUAAAGUCGGGUAUGUAUACCCGUUUGCAUGUACUUUAUGAAUAAGGAUCGGCUAACUCCGUG
This 488-nucleotide ribosomal RNA is filed under the name uncultured bacterium. Its description in RNAcentral is "bacterial SSU rRNA". It matches the Rfam family "Bacterial small subunit ribosomal RNA", at positions 30 to 507 of the family's 1533-position model. The record is from RNAcentral.